Molecule: non-coding RNA, 775 nt
Organism: Chlorocebus sabaeus (green monkey)
Lineage: Eukaryota; Metazoa; Chordata; Mammalia; Primates; Cercopithecidae
Source: RefSeq, a predicted model, not a curated record
UGAGCACCAACCCUAGUCCCCCGCGCGGCCCCUUAUUCGCUCCGACAAGAUGAAAGAAACAAUCAUGAACCAGGAAAAAACUCGCCAAACUGCAGGAACAAGUGCGCAUUGGUGGGAAAGGAACUGCUCGCAGAAAGAAGAAGGUGGUUCAUAGAACAGCCACAGCAGAUGAUAAAAAACUUCGGUUCUCCUUAAAGAAGUUAGGGGUAAACAAUAUCUCUGGUAUUGAAGAGGUGAAUAUGUUUACAAACCAAGGAACAGUGAUCUACUUUAACAACCCUAAAGUUCAGGCAUCUCUGGCAGUGAACACUUUCACCAUUACAGGCCAUGAAAUGCUACCCAGCAUCUUAAACCAGCUUGGUGCAGAUAAGUCUGACUAGUUUAAGGAGACUGACCGAAGCUCUGCCCAAACAAUCUGUGGAUGGAAAAGCACCACUUGCUACUGGAGAGGAUGAUGAUGAUGAAGUUCCAGAUCUUGCGGAGAAUUUUGAUGAGGCUUCCAAGAAUGAGGCAAACUGAAUUGAGUCAACUUCUGAAGAUAAAACUUGAAGAAGUUACUGGGAGCUGCUAUUUUAUAUAAUGACUGCUUUUUAAGAAAUUUUUGUUUAUGGAUCUGAUAAAAUCUAGAUCUCUAAUAUUUUUAAGCCCAAGCCCCUUGGACACUGCAGCUCUUUUCAGUUUUUGCUUCUACACAAUUCAUUCUUUGCAGCUAAUUAAGCCGAAGAAGCCUGGGAAUCAAGUUUGAAACAAAGGUUAAUAAAGUUCUUUGCCUAGU